CCUUUCCAAUUGUCUUGUUUCCCAGCCCAGAGAAGCUAAGCAGCAGCAAACUGGAAGAGGGCAGAGGAGGUUGCAAGUCGGAAUCGCUCUGAUGGAAGAGAGAAAUGACAGCUGACAGCCUGACAGCUAGGGAGGUGACAGCAAAGCUUUCACCAGAAAUGAGGGGCUGCUGCCACUAGCUUGGAAUUGUCGGAUUUGUCUGCAAGGCCAGGACAGACUCAGUGGGGACUGCCUGCAGAUGCAACACAUGGAAAGGGACAGUAGAGGGUAUGGCUUAAACUGGGAGAAUGUUAAUCUCUAAAAGUUGUUUAUGAAUUCGCCAUGUUAAAGUGCUCUGCCUGGGGAAGAAGCCAGGAUAGGGAAACUGAGUAAAUGUUGUUCGACUUAAACUGGAUGCUGGAAGACCAAAAGAUAUGCUUUCCAAGAUGGCAUAUUCUGAGGGGCUGAUCUGCAGAAAAGGCCAAGUGAAAAGUCACCCAAUAAUGAGAAAGGAGGAAGAUGACAUGUAGAAUGCAUGAAUGGCCCCUCUGUCAUAGUUAGAAGAAACACAUUACAGAGAAAGAAACAUUUUGAAAGGCUAGAAGCUCAUUGAUCAUGAAACAUGAUGGCGCAUGGAAUCAGUGAUGUAAAUUGUGAAAUUUCUGCAGACCAUACAAGAAACAUAGUGUCAGCAUCUGCAGCUGGUGAGGGCUUCAGGAAAACUACAAUCAUGGCGGAAGAAAAACUGGGAGCUGGAAUAUUACAAGUGUGACACUCUGAGAUGUGGAUGUCUAUGUUCCUGCCUCUCUAAUCUGGGUGGGCUUAUGAUUGUGGCUACUGUGACUUUAUGUGACUUCAGGGACUGGAUCAUAAAAGGUGAUGCGGCUUCUCCAUAGAUCACUGGAGUACUUGAUCUGAAUUCCUAAGCUGCCAGGUA
RNAcentral lists this long non-coding RNA (916 nucleotides) under Callithrix jacchus (white-tufted-ear marmoset). Its description in RNAcentral is "lncRNA (ENSCJAG00000075217.1)". The record is from RNAcentral. Lineage: Eukaryota; Metazoa; Chordata; Mammalia; Primates; Cebidae.